Molecule: ribosomal RNA, 468 nt
Filed under: uncultured bacterium
Lineage: Bacteria
Description: partial 16S ribosomal RNA
Rfam family: Bacterial small subunit ribosomal RNA
Source: RNAcentral
GACGAACGCUGGCGGCGUGCUUAACACAUGCAAGUCGAACGGAAAGGCCCUGCUUUUGUGGGGUGCUCGAGUGGCGAACGGGUGAGUAACACGCGAGUAACCUGCCCUUGACUUUGGGAUAACUUCAGGAAACUGGGGAUCAUACCGGAUAGGAGCUCCUGCUGCAUGGUGGGGGUUGGAAAGUUACGGCGGUUGGGGAUGGACUCGCGGCUUAUCCGCUUGUUGGUCGGGUAGUGGAUUACCAAGGCUUUGACGGAUAGCCGGCCUGAGAGGGUGACCGGCCACAUUGGGACUGAGAUACGGCCCAGACUCCUACGGGAGGCAGCAGUGGGGAAUAUUGCACAAUGGGCGGAAGCCUGAUGCAGCAACGCCGCGUGCGGGAUGACGGCCUUCGGGUUGUAAACCGCUUUCGCCGGUGACGAAGCGUGAGUGACGGUAAUGGGUAAAGAAGCACCGGCUAACUACGUG